RNAcentral lists this ribosomal RNA (465 nucleotides) under uncultured bacterium. Its description in RNAcentral is "partial 16S ribosomal RNA". It matches the Rfam family "Bacterial small subunit ribosomal RNA", at positions 339 to 795 of the family's 1533-position model. The record is from RNAcentral.
CUACGGGGGGCUCCAGUGAGGAAUAUUGCGCAAUGGAGGCAACUCUGACGCAGCAACGCCGCGUGGGUGAUGAAGCUCUAUGGAGUGUAAAGCCCUGUAGACAGGGAAGAAUGGCAUAUGCAGGAAAUGGUAUAUGAUUGACGGUACCUGUAAAGUAAGCACCGGCGUAACUCCGUGCCAGCAGCCGCGGUAAUACGGGGGGUGCAAGCGUUGUCCGGAAUUACUGGGCGUAAAGGGUGUGUAGGCGGCAGAGUCAGUCAGAUGUGAAAGCCCACGGCUUAACCGUGGAAUUGCAUUUGAUACUGCUAGGCUUGAGUUCGAGAGAGGGUAGUGGAAUUCCCAGUGUAGCGGUGAAAUGCGUAGAGAUUGGGAGGAACACCAGUAGCGAAGGCGGCUACCUGGCGCGCAACUGACGCUAAGGCGCGAAAGCGUGGGGAGCAAACAGGAUUAGAUACCCCCGUAGUC